Molecule: non-coding RNA, 148 nt
Filed under: Homo sapiens (human)
Lineage: Eukaryota; Metazoa; Chordata; Mammalia; Primates; Hominidae
Source: Rfam by way of RNAcentral
GCCAGGCAUGGUGAUGCGUGCCUGUAGUCCCAGCUACUCAGGAGGCUGAGAUAGGAGGAUGGCUUGAACCCAGGAGGCGGAGGUUGUAGUGGACUGAGAUCAUGCCACUGCACUCCAGCCUGGGCAACAGAGCCAGACCCUGUCUCAA